Molecule: ribosomal RNA, 301 nt
Filed under: uncultured bacterium
Lineage: Bacteria
Description: partial 16S ribosomal RNA
Rfam family: Bacterial small subunit ribosomal RNA
Source: RNAcentral
CAGUAGCCACGGUAAUACGUAGGGUGCAAGCGUUAAUCGGAAUUACUGGGCGUAAAGCGUACGCAGGCGGUUUGUUAAGUCAGAUGUGAAAUCCCCGGGCUUAACCCGGGAACUGCAUUUGAAACUGGCAGGCUAGAGUCUCGUAGAGGGGGGUAGAAUUCCAGGUGUAGCGGUGAAAUGCGUAGAGAUCUGGAGGAAUACCGGUGGCGAAGGCGGCCCCCUGGACGAAGACUGACGCUCAGGUACGAAAGCGUGGGGAGCAAACAGGAUUAGAUACCCCUGUAGUCCCUGUCUCUUAUAA